AAUGGGGGAAACCCUGACGCAGCGAUGCCGCGUGAGUGAAGAAGGCCCUAGGGUUGUAAAACUCUUUCACCGGUGAAGAUAAUGACGGUAGCCGGAGAAGAAGCCCCGGCUAACUCCGUGCCAGCAGCCGCGGUAAUACGGAGGGGGCUAACGUUGUUCGGAAUUACUGGGCGUAAAGCGCGCGUAGGCGGAUUAGACAGUUGAGGGUGAAAUCCCGGAGCUUAACUCCGGAACUGCCUUCAAUACUACUAAUCUUGAGUUCGGAAGAGGUGAGUGGAAUUCCUAGUGUAGAGGUGAAAUUCGUAGAUAUUAGGAAGAACAUCAGUGGCGAAGGCGACUCACUGGUCCGAUACUGACGCUGAGGUGCGAAAGCGUGGGGAGCAAACAGGAUU
Molecule: ribosomal RNA, 392 nt
Filed under: uncultured Gammaproteobacteria bacterium
Lineage: Bacteria; Pseudomonadati; Pseudomonadota; Gammaproteobacteria
Description: bacterial SSU rRNA
Rfam family: Bacterial small subunit ribosomal RNA
Source: RNAcentral